AAUUAUAUAGUCAAUAAUGAUAUUGAAUUGCAAAUUCAAAGGUGAAAUCUUUUCUGUAAUUU
Molecule: transfer RNA, 62 nt
Filed under: Xylosandrus crassiusculus
Lineage: Eukaryota; Metazoa; Arthropoda; Insecta; Coleoptera; Curculionidae
Description: tRNA-Cys
Source: RNAcentral